UACAGAGGGGGCAAGCGUUGUUCGGAAUUACUGGGCGUAAAGGGCGCGUAGGCGGCCUGUUAAGUCGAACGUGAAAUCCCCGGGCUCAACCCGGGAACUGCAUCCGAUACUGGCGGGCUUGAAUCCGGGAGAGGGAUGUGGAAUUCCAGGUGUAGCGGUGAAAUGCGUAGAUAUCUGGAGGAACACCGGUGGCGAAGGCGGCAUCCUGGACCGGUAUUGACGCUGAGGCGCGAAAGCUAGGGGAGCAAACAGG
RNAcentral lists this ribosomal RNA (253 nucleotides) under uncultured bacterium. RNAcentral describes it as "partial 16S ribosomal RNA". It matches the Rfam family "Bacterial small subunit ribosomal RNA", at positions 524 to 776 of the family's 1533-position model. The record is from RNAcentral.